This 508-nucleotide ribosomal RNA is filed under the name uncultured bacterium. Its description in RNAcentral is "partial 16S ribosomal RNA". It matches the Rfam family "Bacterial small subunit ribosomal RNA", at positions 28 to 507 of the family's 1533-position model. The record is from RNAcentral.
GACGAACGCUGGCGGCGUGCCUAAUACAUGCAAGUCGAACGCUUCUUUCCUCCCGAGUGCUUGCACUCAAUUGGAAAGAGGAGUGACGGACGGGUGAGUAACACGUGGGUAACCUACCCAUCAGAGGGGGAUAACACUUGGAAACAGGUGCUAAUACCGCAUAACAGUUUAUGCCGCAUGGCAUAAGAGUGCAAGGCGCUUUCGGGUGUCGCUGAUGGAUGGACCCGCGGUGCAUUAGCUAGUUGGUGAGGUAACGGCUCACCAAGGCCACGAUGCAUAGCCGACCUGAGAGGGUGAUCGGCCACACUGGGACUGAGACACGGCCCAGACUCCUACGGGAGGCAGCAGUAGGGAAUCUUCGGCAAUGGACGAAAGUCUGACCGAGCAACGCCGCGUGAGUGAAGAAGGUUUUCGGAUCGUAAAACUCUGUUGUUAGAGAAGAACAAGGACGUUAGUAACUGAACGUCCCCUGACGGUAUCUAACCAGAAAGCCACGGCUAACUACGUG